Molecule: long non-coding RNA, 456 nt
Organism: Eubalaena glacialis (North Atlantic right whale)
Lineage: Eukaryota; Metazoa; Chordata; Mammalia; Artiodactyla; Balaenidae
Exons: 3
Source: RefSeq, a predicted model, not a curated record
UAUUCAACAAAUACUAAGUACAACCCACUCCAAAUAAAAGCAGAAAUAACAAGUCAUCGGGAUAGGGUGCUGCGCCUGUUACGAGAUCCCAGACGUCGGCCUUCCUGCGAUUCUCACUGGAUGCUGUGUGAGCAGGCCUGCCAGGUGCCCAGAAGAUGCUGAACAAAAGACAUGGGAACCAUUAGGUUUAAAAUCACUUCCUGGGCUGUGCCCUUUGUCCCCUUGCUCGGAAGGCACUUUGUCACCAGGCUCCAGGGCCGGCAGGCUUCUCCAGAGCUUUCCAGAUUAAAACGAGAGCUGACCCAGAUGAAGCAAGAACUGCAGUACAAAGAAAAGGGGGUAGAGACCCUGCAAGAGUGAGUGGCCUGCAGUGACAGAGGGAGAGUUUCCCUGUGAUUUCCUGUUGCGCUGACCUGUUUGGUGCCGGGACAUGUGUCCUAAAGCUUCAUGGGUGUU